AGUGAACGCUGGCGGUAGGCCUAACACAUGCAAGUCGAACGGCAGCACAGUAGAGCUUGCUCUCUGGGUGGCGAGUGGCGGACGGGUGAGGAAUACAUCGGAAUCUACUCUGUCGUGGGGGAUAACGUAGGGAAACUUACGCUAAUACCGCAUACGACCUACGGGUGAAAGCGGGUGACCUUCGGACCUUGCGCGAUUGAAUGUGCAGAUGGCGGAUUAGCUAGUUGGCGGGGUAAAGGCCCACCAAGGCGACGAUCCGUAGCUGGUCUGAGAGGAUGAUCAGCCACACUGGAACUGAGACACGGUCCAGACUCCUACGGGAGGCAGCAGUGGGGAAUAUUGGACAAUGGGCGCAAGCCUGAUCCAGCCAUACCGCGUGGGUGAAGAAGGCCUUCGGGUUGUAAAGCCCUUUUGUUGGGAAAGAAAUCAAGCUGGCUAAUACCCGGUUGGGAUGACGGUACCCAAAGAAUAAGCAUCGGCUAACUUCGUGCCAGCCGCCGCGGUAA
This 506-nucleotide ribosomal RNA is filed under the name uncultured bacterium. RNAcentral's name for it is "partial 16S ribosomal RNA". It matches the Rfam family "Bacterial small subunit ribosomal RNA", at positions 29 to 523 of the family's 1533-position model. The record is from RNAcentral.